Molecule: small nuclear RNA, 104 nt
Organism: Rhincodon typus (whale shark)
Lineage: Eukaryota; Metazoa; Chordata; Chondrichthyes; Orectolobiformes; Rhincodontidae
Source: RefSeq, a predicted model, not a curated record
GUGCUCGCUUCGGCAGCACAUAUACUAAAAUAGUAAUGAUGUAGAGAUUAGCAUGGCCCCUGCACAAGGAUGAUGCACAAAUUCGUGAAGCGUUCUGGGUGGCA